Molecule: small RNA, 28 nt
Filed under: Bombyx mori (domestic silkworm)
Lineage: Eukaryota; Metazoa; Arthropoda; Insecta; Lepidoptera; Bombycidae
Description: ovarian small RNA-22584
Source: RNAcentral
UAGCUUCGCGAGGAGUGCUCGAGACCUG